CAGGAAUCCAUUGAGACUGGAGCAGUGAGUAGACUAAGACUAGAAUAAGCAGAAGCUGGCCUCCGUCUCUCCAUCCUUGCCUGUUGAUGGCUAAUGCCUUCAGAUGUGCCUGUGAGGGAGUUCCUAGAUUGGGGUAACUGAGGCUGAGGCCCUCACAUUUACUACAGUUGGCCUCUAGAAUCUUUCCUAGACAUUUUGAACUGAUGAGUCUCAGCCAGUCAGUGAAGCUUCAUGAAACUAGGGCUCUGUAACCGUCUAUUCAAUUUUGACAUGUUGGGAUUGCGUGUGAAGGGACAGCGGCAGAGCCAGUUGAGAAGUGAGUGGACCAGAUUGCAAAGCAGCCCGACAAGAUAUCCUUAUUAAGAUAAAAUUGUGAAUUUUCAGAAAGCACGGGUACACAUCAGACAGCUGAAGGGACAGACGUAGACCCGUGGUGUUCUCAAAAGCGCCACAAGAUGGCGCUGCUGCUGCUUCCCAGUCCCGACUACAGAGAAACUGCCAGCAGCGGCAGAAGCGGUCAGAAGUUCUCUACAAGUUUGAAGUGAUUACCCAGUGAACAUAUUUCUUAAGUAAUCUUCAAUUUUGGCUGCUGGAGAGCUCCUCACAAUGAGGCCUUUUGAAACGGGCUCCGUAGAAGCCUUGCUCUCUUGGUCAUGUUUGUCAGAGUCUGGGACAUCAGGCUUAAGGGAAGGAAAAUGGCUGGCUGGUCAAACUGCCAAAGGGACAAACUGCCGCAAAACACCAGCACCAGGAGUCCUUUUGCAUCAGACUCUUGAUUGUUCUUUCUGGCACAAGCCAGACUUAAGAGGUUUCCCUAUCCUACUUCCUGCAUCUUCUUCCAGGUAUCCAGCUGGUCCCCCAGCAGUUGCAACAUUGGAAUUAGACUUGUUUGUGUGAGGCUCUGCCCGAAAGCUGCAGAGAAGCUAGUAUUUAGACAUGAUGGCCCGGGCAUUCGUGACUGCAUGCAUGCAUGAAUCCAUCUGUCCAUUCCAGGGCUCCAGGCAGUAUGGUAGGAGCUGGAAAAUGCAGCAAACCUGGUAGCUACCUAUCUGAAUGUGUGUGUGUGUGUGUCUGUGGCUCCUGACCUUUUCCACCUGGAAUCUUGCUCAUGGUAGAGACUCCUUUCUUUUCAGCUCCCCCUUUGGUGUCUUUAUGCUUGAAUGGAGUCUCACAGUUUGAUUAUUUGAACUGUAGCUUUCAUGCUGCAUCUGGGAAAAAUCCCCAGCAACCCUGUCUGCCUCUGAUUACAUCCUCUGGCAGACAAAACAAGCUGACCUGAGUCUGGGUGACGAACCAACCUUGCUUAACUGGCCCUGAGAAUGGAGAUAACCCUGGAAGGCAGAAUACUAGUUUUAAAAUGAGGAGUGCUGGCUUCCCAAGAUGGAAGAUGUUCAGCGCUACAAUCCAACAAACCUGGGCAGAUAGGGAUGAGUGGCUCACCUUGGGCCAGUUCUCUCUUACAUCCCUGAGAGACCUGGCCUCUUUGUUUUUCUCCUCCUCAGUGUUUCUGAGGUCUCUGCUGCCCUAGGCACUCCUGGCAGUCCUUGCUUGUCCUGUGCUGGCUGACUUUGAGGCUGACUGGUGGGAGGCUCAGUGUGGGAAGGAAGACGAGGCUUAGCAGUGUCCACCUUGGACAGGCGCGGCUGUACCUCUCAGCCUCAGCUCCUUUUAUUGUAAGAUAGGUAUAAUUAUCCCCGCCUCACGUUUAUUGAGAGGAUCAGGAGAGAUCAUGCAUACAAAGUGUCAGGUAUGAACCUGAGCAUGCGAGCACAGCUUGAUGUCGAUGAUGCAUUCAACAACAACAACAACAACAACAACAACAACAACAACAAAUCCCACACAGAAUAGUGGCAGGAGGGAGGGGUUCAGGGCUGCAGAAUCCAGGGCAAGUACCAAAAUGGAGAGGCCAAACUGUAUGGGUGUGGCUGGGCAAAAUGGUGUGGGUGUGGGUAGGACUCUGGUCUCUCAGCAACCUAAGAUGCAAUAGAUUUUACUCUGAUGACAGCAGGGAGUCACUGAGGGAUUUAAUGGCUCCAUCAGUUUGGGUCCUCAUCCCUAGCUGCUUUGUGGAUGUAAUUCUGGUCACGCAGUGCCUAUAAUUCCAGUACAGUAGGGGGAGGGGCACAGGGCAGUGCAUGUGAUCAAGAUACAUUGUAUACCUGUAUAGACCUGUCAGAUAAUAAACAUGUUUAUUAAACUA
RNAcentral lists this long non-coding RNA (2200 nucleotides) under Mus caroli (Ryukyu mouse). RNAcentral describes it as "predicted gene 14243 (MGP_CAROLIEiJ_G0005513.1)". The record is from RNAcentral. Lineage: Eukaryota; Metazoa; Chordata; Mammalia; Rodentia; Muridae.